GGUGGCAAGGGCAGCAUGCGCAGGAAGAAGAAGGCAGUUCACAAGACCACCACCACUGAUGACAAGAGGCUUCAAAGCACCUUGAAAAGAGUAGGAGUGAACAACAUUCCUGGUAUUGAAGAGGUCAAUAUCUUCAAGGAUGAUGUGGUUAUCCAAUUUCAGAAUCCAAAAGUGCAAGCAUCCAUUGGUGCAAAUACAUGGGUAGUGAGUGGAACACCACAGACGAAGAAGCUGCAAGAUCUGC
RNAcentral lists this unclassified non-coding RNA (244 nucleotides) under Hevea brasiliensis (rubber tree). The record is from RNAcentral. Lineage: Eukaryota; Viridiplantae; Streptophyta; Magnoliopsida; Malpighiales; Euphorbiaceae.